RNAcentral lists this ribosomal RNA (184 nucleotides) under uncultured bacterium. Its description in RNAcentral is "partial 16S ribosomal RNA". It matches the Rfam family "Bacterial small subunit ribosomal RNA", at positions 1319 to 1500 of the family's 1533-position model. The record is from RNAcentral.
CAUGAAGCUGGAAUCGCUAGUAAUCNCGGAUCAGAAUGCCGCGGUGAAUACGUUCCCGGGUCUUGUACACACCGCCCGUCACACCAUGGGAGUCGGAAAUGCCCGAAGCCGGUGACUCAACCUGCAAAGGAGAGAGCCGUCGAAGGCAGGUCUGAUAAUUGGGGUGAAGUCGUAACAAGGUACC